RNAcentral lists this unclassified non-coding RNA (165 nucleotides) under uncultured Rosasphaeria. RNAcentral's name for it is "sequence contains ITS2". The record is from RNAcentral. Lineage: Eukaryota; Fungi; Ascomycota; Sordariomycetes; Hypocreales; Niessliaceae.
CAACCCUCGCGCCCAUCUGGGCUGCGGUGUUGGGGACCGGCCUGCCCCCCGGGGCGCGCCGCCCCCCAAAAUCAGUGGCGGUCUCGCUGCAGCCUCCCUUGCGUAGUAGCACACCUCGCACCGGAGCGCAGCGCGGCCACGCCGUAAAACCCCCGACCCCCAUGA